GACGAACGCUGGCGGCGUGCCUAAUACAUGCAAGUAGAACGCACAGUUUAUACCGUAGCUUGCUACACCAUAAACUGUGAGUUGCGAACGGGUGAGUAACGCGUAGGUAACCUGCCUGGUAGCGGGGGAUAACUAUUGGAAACGAUAGCUAAUACCGCAUAAUAUUGAUUAUUGCAUGAUAAUUGAUUGAAAGAUGCUAUUGCAUCACUACCAGAUGGACCUGCGUUGUAUUAGCUAGUAGGUGAGGUAACGGCUCACCUAGGCGACGAUACAUAGCCGACCUGAGAGGGUGAUCGGCCACACUGGGACUGGGACACGGCCCAGACUCCUACGGGAGGCAGCAGUAGGGAAUCUUCGGCAAUGGACGAAAGUCUGACCGAGCAACGCCGCGUGAGGGAAGAAGGUUUUCGGAUCGUAAAGCUCUGUUGUAAGAGAAGAACGGGUGUGAGAGUGGAAAGUUCACACUGUGACGGUAUCUUACCAGAAAGGGACGGCUAACUACGUG
RNAcentral lists this ribosomal RNA (505 nucleotides) under uncultured bacterium. RNAcentral describes it as "partial 16S ribosomal RNA". It matches the Rfam family "Bacterial small subunit ribosomal RNA", at positions 28 to 507 of the family's 1533-position model. The record is from RNAcentral.